Molecule: ribosomal RNA, 396 nt
Filed under: uncultured bacterium
Lineage: Bacteria
Description: partial 16S ribosomal RNA
Rfam family: Bacterial small subunit ribosomal RNA
Source: RNAcentral
AAUCUUGCGCAAUGGACGAAAGUCUGACGCAGCGACGCCGCGUGAGGGACGAAGGCCUUCGGGUCGUAAACCUCUGUCCUUGGGGACGAUGAUGACGGUACUCAAGGAGUAAGCCCCGGCUAUCUACUAGCCCGCAGCCGCGGUAAUACGUAGGGGGCGAGCGUUGUCCGGAAUUAUUGGGCGUAAAGUGUGCGUAGGCGGCAUGGCAAGUCCUGUGUGAAAGGUCGCGGCUUAACCGCGGUGGGUCAUGGGAAACUGCCAGGCUAGAGUGCCGGAGAGGAUAGCGGAAUUCCACGUGUAGCGGUGAAAUGCGUAGAUAUGUGGAGGAACACCCGUGGCGAAGGCGGCUAUCUGGAAGGUAACUGACGCUGAGGCACGACAGCUGGGGGAGCGAAC